GACGAACGCUUUCGGCGUGCUUAACACAUGCAAGUCGAACGGAAAGGCCCUGCUUUUGUGGGGUGCUCGAGUGGCGAACGGGUGAGUAACACGUGAGUAACCUGCCCUUGACUUUGGGAUAACUUCAGGAAACUGGGGCUAAUACCGGAUAGGAGCUCCUGCUGCAUGGUGGGGGUUGGAAAGUUUCGGCGGUUGGGGAUGGACUCGCGGCUUAUCAGCUUGUUGGUGGGGUAGUGGCUUACCAAGGCUUUGACGGGUAGCCGGCCUGAGAGGGUGACCGGCCACAUUGGGACUGAGAUACGGCCCAGACUCCUACGGGAGGCAGCAGUGGGGAAUAUUGCACAAUGGGCGGAAGCCUGAUGCAGCAACGCCGCGUGCGGGAUGACGGCCUUCGGGUUGUAAACCGCUUUCGCCUGUGACGAAGCGUGAGUGACGGUAAUGGGUAAAGAAGCACCGGCUAACUACGUGCCAGCAGCCGCGGUGAUACGUAGGGUGCGAGCGUUGUCCGGAUUUAUUGGGCGUAAAGGGCUCGUAGGUGGUUGAUCGCGUCGGAAGUGUAAUCUUGGGGCUUAACCCUGAGCGUGCUUUCGAUACGGGUUGACUUGAGGAAGGUAGGGGAGAAUGGAAUUCCUGGUGGAGCGGUGGAAUGCGCAGAUAUCAGGAGGAACACCAGUGGCGAAGGCGGUUCUCUGGGCCUUUCCUGACGCUGAGGAGCGAAAGCGUGGGGAGCGAACAGGCUUAGAUACCCUGGUAGUCCACGCUGUAAACGGUGGGUACUAGGUGUGGGGUCCAUUCCACGGGUUCCGUGCCGUAGCUAACGCUUUAAGUACCCCGCCUGGGGAGUACGGCCGCAAGGCUAAAACUCAAAGGAAUUGACGGGGCCCCGCACAAGCGGCGGAGCAUGCGGAUUAAUUCGAUGCAACGCGUAGAACCUUACCUGGGUUUGACAUGGAUCGGGAGUGCCCAGAGAUGGGUGUGCCUCUUUUGGGGUCGGUUCACAGGUGGUGCAUGCCUGUCGUCAGCUCGUGUCGUGAGAUGUUGGGUUAAGUCCCGCAACGAGCGCAACCCUUGUUCACUGUUGCCAGCACGUUAUGGUGGGGACUCAGUGGAGACCGCCGGGGUCAACUCGGAGGAAGGUGGGGAUGACGUCAAGUCAUCAUGCCCCUUAUGUCCAGGGCUUCACGCAUGCUACAAUGGCUGGUACAGAGAGUGGCGAGCCUGUGAGGGUGAGCGAAUCUCGGAAAGCCGGUCUCAGUUCGGAUUGGGGUCUGCAACUCGACCUCAUGAAGUCGGAGUCGCUAGUAAUCGCAGAUCAGCAACGCUGCGGUGAAUACGUUCCCGGG
Molecule: ribosomal RNA, 1343 nt
Filed under: uncultured bacterium
Lineage: Bacteria
Description: 16S ribosomal RNA
Rfam family: Bacterial small subunit ribosomal RNA
Source: RNAcentral